CUGGUUGAUCCUGCCAGACCCGACUGCUAUCGGAUUGGGACUAAGCCAUGCGAGUCAACUCCGCAAGGGGUGGCGCACGGCUCAGUAACACGUAGUCAACCUACCCUGGGGACGGGGAUAACCUCGGGAAACUGAGGCUAAACCCCGAUGGGCCAUGGCUCCUGGAAUGGGCUAUGGCUGAAAUCUACAUGGCCCCAGGAUGGGACUGCGGCCGAUCAGGUUGUUGGUGGGGUAAUGGCCCACCAAGCCUAUAACCGGUGCGGGCUCUGAGAGGAGGAGCCCGGAGAUAGGCACUGAGACAAGGGCCCAGGUCCUAUGGGGCGCAGCAGGCGCGAAACCUCCGCAAUGGGCGAAAGCCCGACGGGGUCAGUCCGAGUGGUUCCCGCUGAGGGAACCUUUUGCCAGCUGUAAACAGGCUGGCGAAUAAGGGGUGGGCAAGUUUGGUGUCAGCCGCCGCGGUAAUACCAGCACCCCGAGUGGUCGGGACGAUUAUUGGGCCUAAAGCAUCCGUAGCCGGCCCAGUAAGUGCUCCGUUAAAUCCAACGGCUCAACCGUUGGGCUGCGGGGGAUACUGCUGGGCUAGGGGACGGGAGAGGCGAGGGGUAUUCCCGGGGUAGGGGUAAAAUCCACUGAUCCCGGGAGGACCACCAGUGGCGCAGGCGCCUCGCUAGAACGUGCCCGACGGUGAGGGAUGAAAGCUGGGGGAGCGAACCGGAUUAGAUACCCGGGUAGUCCCAGCCGUAAACGAUGUAGGCUCGGUGUUGGGCUGCCUCAGUGGCAGCCCAGUGCCGCAGGGAAGCCGUUAAGCCUACCGCCUGGGGAGUACGGCCGCAAGGCUGAAACUUAAAGGAAUUGGCGGGGGAGCACCAC
RNAcentral lists this ribosomal RNA (870 nucleotides) under uncultured archaeon. Its description in RNAcentral is "bacterial SSU rRNA". It matches the Rfam family "Archaeal small subunit ribosomal RNA", at positions 4 to 882 of the family's 1478-position model. The record is from RNAcentral.